RNAcentral lists this ribosomal RNA (253 nucleotides) under uncultured bacterium. RNAcentral describes it as "partial 16S ribosomal RNA". It matches the Rfam family "Bacterial small subunit ribosomal RNA", at positions 524 to 776 of the family's 1533-position model. The record is from RNAcentral.
UACGAAGGGGGCUAGCGUUGCUCGGAAUCACUGGGCGUAAAGGGCGCGUAGGCGGCCUGCUAAGUCACACGUGAAAUCCCUCGGCUCAACCGGGGAACUGCGUGUGAUACUGGCGGGCUUGAAUUCGGGAGAGGGAUGUGGAAUUCCAGGUGUAGCGGUGAAAUGCGUAGAUAUCUGGAGGAACACCGGUGGCGAAGGCGGCAUCCUGGACCGAGAUUGACGCUGAGGCGCGAAAGCUAGGGGAGCAAACGGG